This 301-nucleotide ribosomal RNA is filed under the name uncultured bacterium. RNAcentral describes it as "partial 16S ribosomal RNA". It matches the Rfam family "Bacterial small subunit ribosomal RNA", at positions 509 to 809 of the family's 1533-position model. The record is from RNAcentral.
CAGUAGCCGCGGUAAUACGGAGGGUGCAAGCGUUAUCCGGAUUUAUUGGGUUUAAAGGGUCCGUAGGCGGAUCUGUAAGUCAGUGGUGAAAUCUCACAGCUUAACUGUGAAACUGCCAUUGAUACUGCAGGUCUUGAGUAAAUUUGAAGUGGCUGGAAUAAGUAGUGUAGCGGUGAAAUGCAUAGAUAUUACUUAGAACACCAAUUGCGAAGGCAGGUCACUAAGAUUUAACUGACGCUGAUGGACGAAAGCGUGGGGAGCGAACAGGAUUAGAGACCCCAGUAGUCCCUGUCUCUUAUAA